GACGAACGCUGGCGGCGUGCUUAACACAUGCAAGUCGAACGGAAAGGCCCUGCUUUUGUGGGGUGCUCGAGUGGCGAACGGGUGAGUAGCACGUGAGUAACCUGCCCUUGACUUUGGGAUAACUUCAGGAAACUGGGGCUAAUACCGGAUAGGAGCUCCUGCUGCAUGGUGGGGGUUGGAAAGUUUCGGCGGUUGGGGAUGGACUCGCGGCUUAUCAGCUUGUUGGUGGGGUAGUGGCUUACCAAGGCUUUGACGGGUAGCCGGCCUGAGAGGGUGACCGGCCACAUUGGGACUGAGAUACGGCCCAGACCCCUACGGGAGGCAGCAGUGGGGAAUAUUGCACAAUGGGCGGAGGCCUGAUGCAGCAACGCCGCGUGCGGGAUGACGGCCUUCGGGUUGUAAACCGCUUUCGCCUGUGACGAAGCGUGAGUGACGGUAAUGGGUAAAGAAGCACCGGCUAACUACGUG
This 468-nucleotide ribosomal RNA is filed under the name uncultured bacterium. RNAcentral describes it as "partial 16S ribosomal RNA". It matches the Rfam family "Bacterial small subunit ribosomal RNA", at positions 28 to 507 of the family's 1533-position model. The record is from RNAcentral.